GGGGGAGCUUAGUUCAUGUCCUAAGAGAAAAUUCACCUUCUUAAGUCAACAAAAUGAUGUUUUAAAAGCCUGAAGGAGCAAAUCGUCAGUAGCACAUCUAGAACCACACCACCCCGAUGCCACCAGGGUGGCCUGGUGGCCUCAAGCAUGAUGUCAGGUGGAGCUCUCUGCACUUUGCUGGCAGCAGAUCUUCGCGGAGAGAAGCACGGGGAGGGUGACAUGUGGUACAGAGCAGGAACGAUGGCUCUGUGCGAUAGCAGCAGACAAAGGUUGCCAUGGCAAGCCUGCUCAGGAGAAAAAAACUGAGUGGAUUGGGCUCACAGGAAGAUUGUGUUAAAGCGGGGGCUGAGAGAUGCCAGGAAUAUUCCUACCCAAAUGCUAAAGACUUGUAUGGUCUCUCAAAAAUGAGGUUGUCUUUAAUGAAACGAAAAUGCAGCCCAUAGUAGCAUGCACAUCUCUGGACACCAACCCAAGCCUAUGGUCAGGGAUGAGCUGGUGUAACAGUCAUAACUCUGGUUGUCUUUCCUACUAGCCUUGGCUUUAAUUCACUUUUGCUGCUAUGCAUGUUCUACUAACUUUCUGGGACUCAAUAUCCUCAUCCAUGAAAAAGAUUGUCC
RNAcentral lists this long non-coding RNA (617 nucleotides) under Homo sapiens (human). RNAcentral describes it as "non-protein coding lnc-IKZF1-16:1". The record is from RNAcentral. Lineage: Eukaryota; Metazoa; Chordata; Mammalia; Primates; Hominidae.